GACAGAGGAUGCAAGCGUUAUCCGGAAUGAUUGGGCGUAAAGAGCGUGUAGGCGGCCACGCAGGUCCGUUGUGAAAACUGGAGGCUCAACCUCCAGCUGUCGACGGAAACCGUAUGGCUAGAGUCCGGAAGAGGAGAGUGGAAUUCCUGGUGUAGCGGUGAAAUGCGCAGAUAUCAGGAAGAACACCAAUGGCGAAGGCAGCUCUCUGGGACGGUACUGACGCUGAGACGCGAAAGCGUGGGGAGCGAACAGG
Molecule: ribosomal RNA, 253 nt
Filed under: uncultured bacterium
Lineage: Bacteria
Description: partial 16S ribosomal RNA
Rfam family: Bacterial small subunit ribosomal RNA
Source: RNAcentral